Molecule: long non-coding RNA, 761 nt
Organism: Quercus lobata
Lineage: Eukaryota; Viridiplantae; Streptophyta; Magnoliopsida; Fagales; Fagaceae
Exons: 3
Source: RefSeq, a predicted model, not a curated record
AAAUUGCUGCAUAGUUUAAAAAGUAUGGGCAAAAAUCUAUUUUCCCCAAUUAUAUUUCCUAUAAUUGGCCCGACCGCUGAAAGAAAAGAUUUAGGAGGACGUUGGAAUUGGAUAGCUCGUAGAGUUUGGAGAGACUUUACUACUGUGCCAAGAGAUUAGUUCAACACCAGCCAACACAGUACCCUGCAUCAGAGGAGAUGAGUAUUGGGAAAAUCAAGUUUAAGGCUUUUGAUUUGGGAGGACAUCAAAUAGCUUGUAGAGUGUGGAAAGACUACUACGCCAAGGUGUAGGCACACCCUAGCUUGAAUGAAGAAGAAAAAUUAAGCGUAUGUAGAAACCUGUAAUACCAUAGAGCAAAGUCACAUGAUUCAUCUUGUUAGAGCAAAGUCACUUGCCCUUUAAAGUAACAGCAUGAUUCAUCUUCUUAGAGCAAAGGCACAUGACAAGGUCAAUGACAGCUUUUGGAUCAAAUCACCAAAGAAUGAAGACUCAGGUAAUUAUCAGAGUUUCUAAACUAAAAGAGGGAGGUAUGAAUCUGCAGAAAGAGGUCGACACAAUGUUGGUGCAACUGAUUGAAUUACAAAUGUGUCAGCUAAAGCUGCAAAGACAAGUAAAGAGAUCCACAAAUUAGAAGAGAAAACUCAACUUUGUAAGGAAAACAAAUUUCUGGUUGGAAAUCUGAUUUUUCUUUGUUGAUUUUUUUUUCUUUUUUGAUAAAUAAUUUUGCUUCAUUGAAAUUGAAAUGUGCCUUAUUAUUUUUA